AAUGUUGAUUCAUCUAAUGCUAUUGUUUGCUUCUCCCAUUGUAGCACACGACUUUGAUGUGACAAAAUAUGGUGCCAAGUGUGAUGAAAAAUCAGAUAUUUCUCAACCAUUGAGGAAAGCUUGGGCUGAUGCUUGUUCAACACCAGGUGCAGCCAAAGUUAUCAUACCAAAGGGUACAUAUUCUUUACUUGAAGUAGAUCUAGUAGGUCCUUGUAAAGGUUCAAUGACAUUGCAAAUUGAAGGAA
RNA transcript from Jatropha curcas, 245 nucleotides. It is a transcript of the gene named exopolygalacturonase-like, with no coding region annotated. The record is from RefSeq and is a predicted model, not a curated record. NCBI's taxonomy places the organism in Eukaryota, Viridiplantae, Streptophyta, Magnoliopsida, Malpighiales, Euphorbiaceae.